CCUACGGGGGGCAGCAGUGAGGAAUAUUGGUCAAUGGUCGGGAGACUGAACCAGCCAAGCCGCGUGAGGGAUGAAGGUACAGAGUAUCGUAAACCUCUUUUGUCAGGGAACAAAGGCGGGGACGCGUCCCCGGAUGAGUGUACCUGAAGAAAAAGCAUCGGCUAACUCCGUGCCAGCAGCCGCGGUAAUACGGAGGAUGCGAGCGUUAUCCGGAUUUAUUGGGUUUAAAGGGUGCGCAGGCGGUAUGCUAAGUCAGCGGUAAAAGCCCGGGGCUCAACCCGGGCCCGCCGUUGAAACUGGCAGUCUCGAGUGGGAGAGAGGUAUGCGGAAUGCGCGGUGUAGCGGUGAAAUGCAUAGAUAUCGCGCAGAACUCCGAUGGCGAAGGCAGCAUGCCGGCUCCACACUGACGCUGAGGCACGAAAGCGUGGGUAUCGAACAGGAUUAGAUACCCGAGUAGUC
Molecule: ribosomal RNA, 459 nt
Filed under: uncultured bacterium
Lineage: Bacteria
Description: partial 16S ribosomal RNA
Rfam family: Bacterial small subunit ribosomal RNA
Source: RNAcentral